UCCUUCUGACUGCUUUCGUACAGUACCUGCAGCUCCUCCAGCUCCAUCUUCAGGCCAUCGCACUGGAGGAAGAAGACACGUGUGGGAAACAUCAGAAUUCAUCUGCACUUCACUUCAGAGGCCCUGAACCACAGGAGAGUUUGCAGGAGGAGCUGGAGCCAAACGUAGAUGUCUGUGGCCAAAGCAGGGCUCCAUAGUGAACUCUUAUGGUAAAUCCAGUCUGUCUCAGCAUGGGGCUGGAGAGAGCUGAGAAAAGAAGUUCCCUGGUGAAAUACCAAGGCAGAUGCAGUCUCUCGGAAAGACGCACGUUGUCCUCCUUCAGGGUCUGACACUCCUCCCUCAGUGUGCGACACUCCUCCUUCAGCAGGUCUACGUCACCUGAUGGAGCGGAGAAGGCCAGAGAUGGAUGUCACGUAAAAAGGACACAGUGCCACCUGGAGUUCACUGCACAUCAGCCUUUGCAGGCUUUCAUUCAUGGAGGCAUUUUCUUCCGUUGAGGCAGCUGUGACCAUGACCAGAGGACACAGGCGAGGAGGCGGGCUCUCCGAGAGGUCACCGCAGACACGAGGACGACAUACAACAGUUCAAGCCUGGGACGACAGGAUAAGGAAGCAAAAUCCGGCUCACGGACUCCUGGUCAAAGGGCCGUGACCUGUGGUUCUCUCUGAGUCGCCGGACGCCGUAAACAUCCUCCAAGUACCAUCGUCCACACUGAGCCGCUCUGUCUGGAUUAUGAAGGAUGGAGGGACAGCGGUGGAAGUGGUCUCCAGCUUCAGAAACAGCACCACCAGAUACAGGAAACGGAGCAUUAAGACCAGAGUCUGGACUAACUCGGGAUACUGUGACCUGGAAAAUUUACAAAGAAGCCUCAGCAGACAUGAACGAUCAGCAACGGUUCUUUAAGAACUCUUGGAAAUUCAAGGAUCGAUUUGUCAUUGGAUGAGCAACGGAGACUAAACAUGAGCGUCCACAACGCAAAGCCCUUCAGGUGUAGCAGCAGACCACUAUCGCCAUCACCUGGCCCGGUGGACUCAAUGACUCCAAGAAGUCCGAAGCAUCUGGCCAUGGUUUUUGAGCGCCCAGAGAGCAGUGUAUGGGGACGGUGCCAUGCUCAGAUGGUAGUUGCACAGGCCAAAAGAAGCGGAGGUUAAACCAAGUUGUUCUACUCCUGAUGAUGGGACCUUAGUUGAAGCUUUUUUUUUUUUUUUUU
Long non-coding RNA from Cynoglossus semilaevis (tongue sole), 1210 nucleotides. RefSeq lists it as uncharacterized. Lineage: Eukaryota; Metazoa; Chordata; Actinopteri; Pleuronectiformes; Cynoglossidae. The transcript has 10 exons. The record is from RefSeq and is a predicted model, not a curated record.